CUGGAGGUAUCAGAAGUGCGAAUGCUGACAUAAGUAACGAUAAAGCGGGUGAAAAGCCCGCUCGCCGGAAGACCAAGGGUUCCUGUCCAACGUUAAUCGGGGCAGGGUGAGUCGACCCCUAAGGCGAGGCCGAAAGGCGUAGUCGAUGGGAAACAGGUUAAUAUUCCUGUACUUGGUGUUACUGCGAAGGGGGGACGGAGAAGGCUAUGUUGGCCGGGCGACGGUUGUCCCGGUUUAAGCGUGUAGGCUGGUUUUCCAGGCAAAUCCGGAAAAUCAAGGCUGAGGCGUGAUGACGAGGCACUACGGUGCUGAAGCAACAAAUGCCCUGCUUCCAGGAAAAGCCUCUAAGCAUCAGGUAACAUCAAAUCGUACCCCAAACCGACACAGGUGGUCAGGUAGAGAAUACCAAGGCGCUUGAGAGAACUCGGGUGAAGGAACUAGGCAAAAUGGUGCCGUAACUUCGGGAGAAGGCACGCUGAUAUGUAGGUGAAGCGACUUGCUCGUGGAGCUGAAAUCAGUCGAAGAUACCAGCUGGCUGCAACUGUUUAUUAAAAACACAGCACUGUGCAAACACGAAAGUGGACGUAUACGGUGUGACGCCUGCCCGGUGCCGGAAGGUUAAUUGAUGGGGUUAGCGGUAACGCGAAGCUCUUGAUCGAAGCCCCGGUAAACGGCGGCCGUAACUAUAACGGUCCUAAGGUAGCGAAAUUCCUUGUCGGGUAAGUUCCGACCUGCACGAAUGGCGUAAUGAUGGCCAGGCUGUCUCCACCCGAGACUCAGUGAAAUUGAACUCGCUGUGAAGAUGCAGUGUACCCGCGGCAAGACGGAAAGACCCCGUGAACCUUUACUAUAGCUUGACACUGAACAUUGAGCCUUGAUGUGUAGGAUAGGUGGGAGGCUUUGAAGUGUGGACGCCAGUCUGCAUGGAGCCGACCUUGAAAUACCACCCUUUAAUGUUUGAUGUUCUAACGUUGGCCCGUUAUCCGGGUUGCGGACAGUGUCUGGUGGGUAGUUUGACUGGGGCGGUCUCCUCCUAAAGAGUAACGGAGGAGCACGAAGGUUGGCUAAUCCUGGUCGGACAUCAGGAGGUUAGUGCAAUGGCAUAAGCCAGCUUGACUGCGAGCGUGACGGCGCGAGCAGGUGCGAAAGCAGGUCAUAGUGAUCCGGUGGUUCUGAAUGGAAGGGCCAUCGCUCAACGGAUAAAAGGUACUCCGGGGAUAACAGGCUGAUACCGCCCAAGAGUUCAUAUCGACGGCGGUGUUUGGCACCUCGAUGUCGGCUCAUCACAUCCUGGGGCUGAAGUAGGUCCCAAGGGUAUGGCUGUUCGCCAUUUAAAGUGGUACGCGAGCUGGGUUUAGAACGUCGUGAGACAGUUCGGUCCCUAUCUGCCGUGGGCGCUGGAGAACUGAGGGGGGCUGCUCCUAGUACGAGAGGACCGGAGUGGACGCAUCACUGGUGUUCGGGUUGUCAUGCCAAUGGCACUGCCCGGUAGCUAAAUGCGGAAGAGAUAAGUGCUGAAAGCAUCUAAGCACGAAACUUGCCCCGAGAUGAGUUCUCCCUGACUCCUUGAGAGUCCUGAAGGAACGUUGAAGACGACGACGUUGAUAGGCCGGGUGUGUAAGCGCAGCGAUGCGU
Molecule: ribosomal RNA, 1635 nt
Filed under: Escherichia coli
Lineage: Bacteria; Pseudomonadati; Pseudomonadota; Gammaproteobacteria; Enterobacterales; Enterobacteriaceae
Description: partial 23S ribosomal RNA
Rfam family: Bacterial large subunit ribosomal RNA
Source: RNAcentral